RNA transcript from Penaeus indicus, 3172 nucleotides. RefSeq lists it as uncharacterized. The transcript is spliced from 2 exons. The record is from RefSeq and is a predicted model, not a curated record. NCBI's taxonomy places the organism in Eukaryota, Metazoa, Arthropoda, Malacostraca, Decapoda, Penaeidae.
AGAGAAAGAGAGAAAGAGAGAAAGAGAGAGAGAGAGAGAGAGAGAGAGAGAGAGAGAGAGAGAGAGAAAAUUACAUGACUUCAUGCUUGUUUCCUUCUUUGAGGAAAAUAAUAGUUAUAAAAUAAAAUAUUACCAACUAUUUUAAAAAGAUGUAACGUAUUCAAUAAAAUUUAGUUGCAUAUAUUAUUCGUUAUAAUAUGUCCUAUUCUAUCUCUUCUAUUUUUCCUCAGAAAUCUUAAUAAACAUUGUAUAUCAGAUUGUUUACAAAAAAAAAAAAAAAAAAAAAAAAAAAAAAAAAAAAAAAAAAAAAAAAAAAAAAAAACGAGCACAUACUCAGGCACAUAUUAAAUACACUGCCAUACACAUGCACAUGCAAGAUAUUUACACUCACAACUACAUAUAAACAUGAAGGUAAAUGUAAACAUUCGAACACAACCACACAAACAUAUAUAUUUACAGACAUAUAAGCAUAAGCAUGCACAUAAACAUCAACAUAAACAAACAACAAAACAACACAAGCGAACAUAAGAAAACACACACACACACACACACACACACACACACACACACACACACACACACACACACACACACACACACACACACACACAAAACAACAAAAAGACUAAUAAAACAUACAAACAACAAACACGCACACAAACAACCACAUACAAAUACAAACUUACAAACAGACAUCAACAGAGGAUCAAGAGUAAGAACAGAAAUGAUGACACAUGCAAAUGAUGUGAUGAUAUUAUGUAAUCAAGAUAAAUAAUCGCCAUAUUGCCAUCCUUAAAAAAAAUACACACCUUUAACUCACGUACAAGUAAGUGACAAAGUGCAAGGAUAUUGGGUCUUUGUAUUUGAAUUUUAUGUCCCUUUUUUAUUGGAAGUUAAAAAAUAAAUAAAUAGUGAUAUUAGUAAAAUGAUGAACAUAAUGAUAUAUGAGUGAUAUUAGAAUUAAUUACUUUUACGGGAAAUACAUUUUUUUUUAAUUUUCCUUUACCGAAAUAAGUAUAAGUAUAUAAGUAUAUAUACAUGUAGGAUUAGAAAAGGCAUUUGCAAUGUGUUUGUGAUAAAUGUAUCAACAGGAUCAACUUGUUUUUAAAUGUAAUGAAAAUUACUUACAUGACCAAUUUUCUUUAUUGUGAUUAAUGUUGUACAUCUCUUGCGUGACAAUUCUAUCAAUAUUUUAUUGGUAAUUACCUGCAUUGCACAAAAAAUCAACUGCAUUAGACUUUUUUCAUGUUUUGCAUAGAUUGUUAAUGUUAUUUUAUUUUUAUUUUUUUUUACAACACCUUCCUGGACCAUGGACGGGGAAAAAGUGGCGAAGAAGAGGAAGUGGAAGAGGAGAGUUAAAAGUAAGAAAGGAAAGGACAGUACCCAGUGAAAGGAGAAAUCAUGCGUUCGAGUCCCUGAGGAUGGCUGAGGUCUGGAAGGGCAUCCGGGAGUGAAGGCGAACACCCAGUAAAAGGACUAGAUGGGACGAGGUUGAGAAACAUCCAGGGGAGACCUCGAAAGGAGUUCCGAAACCAUUACACGAAAUUGGCAUCACAGUUAGCGAGGGUUCUCUGCUGGUCAAGAUUGCGUGGUUCGCGAUACCGCUGUUAGUCGUUAUCUUGGGAAUCAAGGUGGAUACGAGCAUUGCAUUUUGCCGUUUCUGCAACCUCUGCUGAGACUUCGCUGAACAAGAGCCAAAGUAAGAACUGACACAAUAUCUCGGUUCUUGGUUUAGGAUUAUGGCAUUCGUAUGUAGUAUGUGAGAGUUUAUUAAUAUGUUCACACACAGACACACACACACACACACACAUGAAUAUUUACAUACACACACAUACAUAAAUAUAUACAUAUAUGUGUAUACAUAUACAUACAUAUAUUUGCUUGUUAAGCUGCUUGAUUUAGUGUACGGCUUUGAGAGAGAGAGAGAGAGAGAGAGAGAGAGAGAGAGAGAGAGAGAGAGAGAGAGAGAGAGAGAGAGAAAAUUAAAUGACUUUAUGCUUAUUUUUCUUCUUUGAGGAAAAAAAAGCUAUAAAGUAAAAUAUUACUAAAAAUAUUACUUAUUCCUAAGUGUAGCUUAUUCAAUAAAAACAUAGCUGUAUAUAUAUUAUUUGUUAUUAUAUGUCCUGUCCUAUCUAUUGUCUUUAAAUCAAUCUGUCUUUCCUCAGAAACAUUUUUGAUAUACAUUGCAUAUCAGAUUGUAUAUAUCUAUUCAAAGACACACAUAAUAGGCACUUAUAGAUGCACUGCCAUACACAUGAACACACACACACAAAACAAACACACACACACACAAACAACAAUAAAUCAACCUACAAACAGACAGCAGAGGAUCAACAGUAAGAACAGAAAUGAUAACAAACGCAAAUGAUGUGAUGAUAUUAUGUCAUCAAGAUAAUUAAUGAUCGCCAUAUUGCCAUCCUUAAAAAACAAAAACAAAAACAAAAAAACACACCUUUAUCUCACGUACAAGUAAGUGACAAUGUGCAAGGAUAUUGGGUCCCUUUUUAUUGGAAGUAAAAAAAAUAAAUAAUUAGUGAUAUUAGUAAAAUGGUGAACAUAAUGAUAUAUGAGUGAUAUUAGAAUUAGUUGCUUUUACGGGAAAUAUAGAUUUUUUAUUUUCUUUUACCGAAAUAUAUAUAAGUAUAUACACAUAUAGGAUUAGGAAAGGCAUUUGCAAUGUGCCUGUGAUAAAUGUAUCUGCAGGAUCAACUUGUUUUUUAAUGUAAUGAAAAUUACUUACGUGAGCAAUUUUCUUUAUUGCAAUUAAUGUUAUACAUCUCUUGCGUGACAAUCCAAUCAAUAAUUUAUUGGUAGUUACCUGCAUUGCACAAAAAAUCAACUGCAUUAGAUUUUUUUCAUUUUUUGUAUAAAUUGUUAAUGUUAUUGUUUUUUUUUGUUUUUUUUUGCAACACGUUCCUGGAUCAUGGACGGGGAAAAAGUGGCGAAGAAGAGGAAGUGGAAGAGGAGAGUUAAAAGUAAGAGAGAAAGGAAAGGACAGUACCCAGUGAAAGGAGAAAUCAUGUGUUCGAGUCCCUGAGGAUGGCGUCUGGAAGGGCAUCCAGGAGGGAAGGCGAACACCCAGUGAUUGGAGAGGGGACGAAAUCAUGCAUUCGAGUCCCUGAGGAUGGCUGGCGUCUGGAAGGGCAUCCGGGAGGGAAGGCGAACACCCAGU